GGCGACGUGGCCAAGUGGUUAAGGCAGGGGUCUGCAAAACCCCGAUCGUGGGUUCGAUUCCCACCGUCGCCUCCA
This 75-nucleotide transfer RNA is filed under the name Chloroflexota bacterium. RNAcentral's name for it is "tRNA-Cys". It matches the Rfam family "tRNA". Rfam says of the family: Transfer RNA (tRNA) molecules are approximately 80 nucleotides in length. Their secondary structure includes four short double-helical elements and three loops (D, anti-codon, and T loops). The record is from RNAcentral. RNAcentral also lists the same sequence under 1 other name. Lineage: Bacteria; Bacillati; Chloroflexota.